GCGACCCCAGAUCAGGCGGGACUACCCGCUGAGUUUAAGCAUAUCAAUAAGCGGAGGAA
Molecule: ribosomal RNA, 59 nt
Filed under: Reynoutria sachalinensis (giant knotweed)
Lineage: Eukaryota; Viridiplantae; Streptophyta; Magnoliopsida; Caryophyllales; Polygonaceae
Description: Fallopia sachalinensis partial 26S ribosomal RNA
Rfam family: Eukaryotic large subunit ribosomal RNA
Source: RNAcentral